Molecule: ribosomal RNA, 406 nt
Filed under: uncultured Sphingomonas sp.
Lineage: Bacteria; Pseudomonadati; Pseudomonadota; Alphaproteobacteria; Sphingomonadales; Sphingomonadaceae
Description: bacterial SSU rRNA
Rfam family: Bacterial small subunit ribosomal RNA
Source: RNAcentral
CUUCGGCCUUAGUGGCGCACGGGUGCGUAACGCGUGCCUACUCUGCCCUUGGGUCCGGAAUAACAGUUGGAAACGACUGCUACUACCGGAUGAUGUCUCAAGACCAAAGAUUUAUCGCCCAAGGAUGGGCCCGCGUCGGAUUAGCUAGUUGGUGGGGUAAAGGCCCACCAAGGCGACGAUCCUUAGCUGGUCUGAGAGGAUGAUCAGCCACACUGGGACUGAGACACGGCCCAGACUCCUACGGGAGGCAGCAGUGGGGAAUAUUGGACAAUGGGCGAAAGCCUGAUCCAGCAAUGCCGCGUGAGUGAUGAAGGCCUUAGGGUUGUAAAGCUCUUUUACCCGGGAUGAUAAUGACAGUACCGGAAGAAUAAGCUCCGGCUAACUCCGUGCCAGCAGCCGCGGUAAU